This is a long non-coding RNA of Cebus imitator (Panamanian white-faced capuchin), 423 nucleotides long. RefSeq lists it as uncharacterized. NCBI's taxonomy places the organism in Eukaryota, Metazoa, Chordata, Mammalia, Primates, Cebidae. The record is from RefSeq and is a predicted model, not a curated record. The transcript has 3 exons.
GAAACCAUCUGAGAGCUUGAACUUGUAAAAAUUGAGAGACAGCAUGGUGUAAUCCAAGGGAGUAUGGAGUUACCUUAGGCCAUCUGGAGACUAAUCUCAACUCCACCCUACUAUAGGUUUGUGACCUUGGGCAAGUUACUUAAUCAUCAUCUGUUUAUCUCCAAAAUGAAGUUAGACCCUUCCAGCUAUUCUCUGGGAACUGGCUGAGAUCACUUCCAAAGAGUACUUCUUAUUACUAUAACCUAAACUUGAAUCUACUGCUGACAGAGAGUUUAAAUAAUACGUUUAUACUCUUCCUUGAGGCAUUGAAAACCACACCCUGCAGGCAGAUGGGAUAAAGCCAAGAUUUCACCAUGGAUCCAAUGGAAAAUACUGUUCUUCAAGUGAGAGAAACCAAGUCACAAAACAGCAGCCACAAAUUCC